RNAcentral lists this ribosomal RNA (502 nucleotides) under uncultured Diversispora. RNAcentral describes it as "SSU rRNA". It matches the Rfam family "Eukaryotic small subunit ribosomal RNA", at positions 591 to 1092 of the family's 1831-position model. Lineage: Eukaryota; Fungi; Glomeromycota; Glomeromycetes; Diversisporales; Diversisporaceae. The record is from RNAcentral.
CCAAUAGCGUAUAUUAAAGUUGUUGCAGUUAAAAAGCUCGUAGUUGAACUUCGGGAUUUGCCCAUUGGUCAGGCUUAACUGUCUGCACUGGUGUGACGAGUUCCUACCUUCUGAGGAAUCUCCAUGUCAUUCAGUUGGUGUGGGGGGAAAUCAGGACUGUUACUUUGAAAAAAUUAGAGUGUUUAAAGCAGGCAUCCGUCUGAAUACAUUAGCAUGGAAUAAUAAAAUAGGACGGUUUGGUUCUAUUUUGUUGGUUUCUAGGAUCACCGUAAUGAUUAAUAGGGAUAGUUGGGGGCAUUAGUAUUCAAUUGGCAGAGGUGAAAUUCUUGGAUUUAUUGAAGACUAACUACUGCGAAAGCAUUUGCCAAGGAUGUUUUCAUUAAUCAAGAACGAAAGUUAGGGGAUCGAAGACGAUCAGAUACCGUCGUAGUCUUAACCAUAAACUAUGCCGACUAGGGAUCGGACGAAGUUAAUUUUUUAAUGACUCGUUCGGCACCUUACG